This is a non-coding RNA of Drosophila virilis, 468 nucleotides long. NCBI's taxonomy places the organism in Eukaryota, Metazoa, Arthropoda, Insecta, Diptera, Drosophilidae. The record is from RefSeq and is a predicted model, not a curated record.
CCUAAAAUCAAAUACGUUUUAUUACAUUUUACAUUGAUACUUUUGAACAAUAUGGCUUAACCAAAGACAAUAAAAACACUAAGCUUUAGCAUCGGCUCAUCAACAAGCCGCAACUUUCGCAAUCGUUCGUCUGGCUUUUGGAGAGCGUACAGCCAGUCGCAAAGUGAGAAAAGCCAAAUGAAAAGCCAGGCUAGAUAAAUUGCUCUCACUCUUCUUAAUGUUUAUAUUGUCUUUGUCUCUAACGCACUUAUGAAAAUCGGCAAUGCAGUAAUUUUGAUUGGUGGCAUCAACUGUGAACGGAAUGGCUGAAAAUCGAAGAACAAAAUAAUUAAACAUUAAUAAAAUACUUAAAAUUAGAAAUAAACAUUUCCCACCAUCCAAACUAUUUCCGCACACAACACAAGUGAAGCAUUGGGGAUGAUAGGGCUUGCCGGUUGCCCUCAGAAUGCGCUCCAAAAUAGGUUUCAA